This 466-nucleotide ribosomal RNA is filed under the name uncultured bacterium. Its description in RNAcentral is "partial 16S ribosomal RNA". It matches the Rfam family "Bacterial small subunit ribosomal RNA", at positions 28 to 505 of the family's 1533-position model. The record is from RNAcentral.
GACGAACGCUGGCGGCGUGCUUAACACAUGCAAGUCGAACGGAAAGGCCCUGCUUUUGUGGGGUGCUCGAGUGGCGAACGGGUGAGUAACACGUGAGUAACCUGCCCUUGACUUUGGGAUAACUUCAGGAAACUGGGGCUAAUACCGGAUAGGAGCUCCUGCUGCAUGGUGGGGGUUGGAAAGUUUCGGCGGUUGGGGAUGGACUCGCGGCUUAUCAGCUUGUUGGUGGGGUAGUGGCUUACCAAGGCUUUGACGGGUAGCCGGCCUGAGAGGGUGACCGGCCACAGUGGGAGAGAGAUACGGCACAGACUCCUACGGGAGGCAGGAGUGGGGAAUAGUGCACAAGGGGCGGGAGCCUGAUGCAGCAGCGCCGCGUGCGAGAUGGCGGCCUUCGGGUUGUAAACCGCUUUCGCCUGUGACGAAGCGUGAGUGACGGUAAUGGGUAAAGAAGCACCGGCUAACUACG